GACGAACGCUGGCGGCGUGCUUAACACAUGCAAGUCGAACGAUGAAGCUGGAGCUUGCUCCGGUGGAUUAGUGGCGAACGGGUGAGUAACACGUGAGUAAUCUGCCCUUGACUCUGGGAUAACUGCGGGAAACUGUAGCUAAUACCGGAUACGACACCUUCGGGCAUCCGAUGGGUGUGGAAAGAAUUUCGGUCAAGGAUGAACUCGCGGCCUAUCAGCUAGUUGGUGAGGUAAUGGCUCACCAAGGCGACGACGGGUAGCCGGCCUGAGAGGGUGACCGGCCACACUGGGACUGAGACACGGCCCAGACUCCUGCGGGAGGCAGCAGUGGGGAAUAUUGCACAAUGGGGGAAAGCCUGAUGCAGCAACGCCGCGUGAGGGAUGAAGGCCUUCGGGUUGUAAACCUCUUUUAGUUGGGAAGAAGCGAAAGUGACGGUACCAACAGAAAAAGCACCGGCUAACUACGUGCCAGCCGCCGCGGUAA
Molecule: ribosomal RNA, 484 nt
Filed under: uncultured bacterium
Lineage: Bacteria
Description: partial 16S ribosomal RNA
Rfam family: Bacterial small subunit ribosomal RNA
Source: RNAcentral